CAGUCGCCGCGGGAAUACGAAGGGGGCUAGCGUUGCUCGGAAUGACUGGGCGUAAAGGGCGCGUAGGCGGCGAUCAAAGUCAGGCGUGAAAUUCCUGGGCUCAACCUGGGGGCUGCGCUUGAUACUUGGUUGCUUGAGUGGGGAAGAGGGUCGUGGAAUUCCCAGUGUAGAGGUGAAAUUCGUAGAUAUUGGGAAGAACACCGGUGGCGAAGGCGGCGACCUGGUCCUUGACUGACGCUGAGGCGCGAGAGCGUGGGGAGCAAACAGGAUUAGAUACCCGGGUAGUCCCUGUCUCUUAUAC
Molecule: ribosomal RNA, 301 nt
Filed under: uncultured bacterium
Lineage: Bacteria
Description: partial 16S ribosomal RNA
Rfam family: Bacterial small subunit ribosomal RNA
Source: RNAcentral